UUCGCAAUGCCCGAAAGGGUGACGAAGCGACGCCGCGUGAGCGAAGAAGGCCCUAGGGUUGUAAAGCUCUGUCGGGGGUUAUGGAAUGUAGAUCGGUUAAUACCCGGUUUAUUUGACAAAGGCCCCAAAGGAAGCCACGGCUAACUCUGUGCAGCAGCCGCGGUAAUACAGAGGUGGCAAGCGUUGUUCGGUAUUAUUGGGCGUAAAGAGCACGUAGGUGGUUUUGUAAGUCAGAUGUGAAAGCCUUCUGUUCAAAGGAAGAACGGCAUCUGAAACUGCGAAUCUUGAGUGUAGGAGGGGAGAGUGGAACUUCUGGUGGAGCGGUGAAAUGCGUAGAUAUCAGAAGGAACGUCGGCGGCGAAAGCGACUCUCUGGCCUAUUACUGACACUGAGUGUGCGAAAGUUAGGGGAGCAAACGGGAUUAGAUACCCCGGUAGUCCUAACUGUAAACGAUGGGCACUAAGUAGAGGGGUUUU
This 476-nucleotide ribosomal RNA is filed under the name Candidatus Scalindua wagneri. Its description in RNAcentral is "bacterial SSU rRNA". It matches the Rfam family "Bacterial small subunit ribosomal RNA", at positions 365 to 832 of the family's 1533-position model. The record is from RNAcentral. Lineage: Bacteria; Pseudomonadati; Planctomycetota; Candidatus Brocadiia; Candidatus Brocadiales; Candidatus Scalinduaceae.